Molecule: long non-coding RNA, 675 nt
Filed under: Danio rerio (zebrafish)
Lineage: Eukaryota; Metazoa; Chordata; Actinopteri; Cypriniformes; Danionidae
Description: si:ch211-112g6.5 (ENSDARG00000105554.2)
Source: RNAcentral
GAAGUACCAUAUCAGACUCUGCUAUAAUAUCUCUAAACCUGCAAUGAUUUCUCUGUGCAUUGAUUAUUCCAGUGCAGUGGAACAAAAAGUAAUAAUUUGUUUUGAAAUGUACUGAAGUAAAGAGAAACUUUUCUUCCAUAUAAAAAUAAUCCAAAAACUCAGCCGUAACAUAUAAAGAAAUACUUUUGUCCACCGCUGCUUUAUGUAGAACCGUAUACUUUUUCCCCAAUGAGUGAAUCAUCCAGUGAAGGAAAAAUACCUAGAUAAAGCUUGUCUGAUUUGGCUGGUCAUGUGAUCUCAUCAUGAUUGGCCAAUGAUCCACCCCAGCUUCGGUAAGUAAAACUCUAUUGACAUGAUGUCAACAUGAUUUUAUGAAUAUAUUUUUCAAACUACUGUUUUUUCUUUCUUUUUUUUUAAAAGUGAAAGAAUAGACUCUACCUCUUCCACGGUGUCCAUCUCAGUGCUGUAUGAAGUCAGGUACUCUCCAAAAGGCUGGAUCGGUGUGAUUUUAAAGUGGUCAAUCAGCUCUGCGAGACUGUUAUGAGUGGUAGAAUCACCAGAAACGACAAACAGUUCUUACUGUCUGGAGAUGAAACCUUGGAACCAGCGUGGAAAGUUUCCAUCAGACAGGAUGAACAUAGCCUGAGUCUCCACAAACCACUGGAGGAUCUGCUC